Molecule: long non-coding RNA, 1109 nt
Organism: Limulus polyphemus (Atlantic horseshoe crab)
Lineage: Eukaryota; Metazoa; Arthropoda; Merostomata; Xiphosura; Limulidae
Exons: 2
Source: RefSeq, a predicted model, not a curated record
UUGAAUUAUAAUCUAUGUUUUGAUACUAAGUUUUUUGACUUUAUUAAUAGCUAUUUAAUUAACUUUUGAAUGUAGCUCUAUAAAAAGUCAUGCACUUUGACACACCUGUGCAUAUAGUCGUAGCAAUAACAAAUUACCAGAGAAUGGUUCACCUAAGUAUACAUAUAGAUGAAAAACCAGUUUUCAGUAAAUUUUUACAUUUGUGAACUAUGAAGAUUUCUACAGAUAUGACAGAGAACAGAGGUAAAGAACUAUACAAUAAUAGUUUUUUGUUACUGUUUUUCUGUAGAAAAAGAAAUUCUGUAAUGAUGGAUAUGAUUCAGCGUGCCAUAUGUCAUCUUGUUAAAUAACAGUAUUUUUUUAGGGAUGUGCUGAAGCUUUGAAAAACUUUCUUCGAGAUAAAAUAUAUGUUUUGGGAGGUGUUGGAGUUGGGAUAGCUUUUAUUCAGAUUAUUGGAAUCACCUUUGCAUGUUGCCUGGCAUGUAAUCAAGAUAACAGUUAAAUCUAUUACUUGUUUUGACAUAGAAAAAGAAAUCAUCAUGGACAUUGUUUUUUAAUUGAAGCUUUUUUUCUUAAAUUUUUAGCUCAUUGAAUGUUUUACUAUAUUUAAAGAAAAGAUAAUUACAUAGUUAUUGAAAGUAUUUUAAUUUUUUAAGGUUCUAAUGAAUUAUUUCUUAUUAGGUUGAAACUAAUUAGAGUAUAUCAUCACUGUAAAAUAUUAAACAUUUGAAGUUAAGACAAAACAAACAUAAGUAAAUUAAGCUGUUAAUAAAACCCGAUAUUAAUAUCAUUAAGAGAAUUUGAAGUACCUGUGAAACAACUGAUAAUUAGUUCAGGCAGAUUACUUAUAAAAUUUAAUUAUUAAAUACUUUAUUCAGUCACUGUACUCAGUAAAAUAUUUAACAAAAUAUAUGGGAAGAUUAUGUAGUCAGAACAACUAAUUUGCUUGUUCUUUGCAUGAUUUAAUUAUUGCCGAGGUAGUGUUGUACAAAACAUUUUGGUAUGAUCACAAAUGAUGUUAAUAUAGCAGUGAUGAGUAACCAUUCUGGUUUUAUAAACUUGCAGCAAAGUUUUCAGUUCAGUUUCCAGAAUAAAUGAUUCUUACGAAA